This 1417-nucleotide ribosomal RNA is filed under the name Ischnocnema holti (Holt's robber frog). RNAcentral's name for it is "partial 16S ribosomal RNA". It matches the Rfam family "Bacterial large subunit ribosomal RNA", at positions 435 to 2610 of the family's 2925-position model. Lineage: Eukaryota; Metazoa; Chordata; Amphibia; Anura; Brachycephalidae. The record is from RNAcentral.
GCCCAGAAUCUAGCCCUCCCCCCCCCAACUAAAUUUCCUUCCUAACCCCCCCCCCCCCCAAAAUAUUCUAUGACUUAAGUAAAGACGAUUGAAAACCUUACAGGAGCUAUACCAUGUACCGCAAGGGAAUGAUGAAAUAAAAUGAAAUAACAGCAAGCACAAAAAAGUAGAGGUUGUCACUCGUACCUUUUGCAUCAUGGUUUAACUAGUCUAAUCAAGCAAAAAGACUUUUAGUUUGACCCCCCGAAACUGAGUGAGCUACUCCAGGGCAGCUUAUUGAGCGAACCCGUCUCUGUUGCAAGAGAGUGGGAAGACCCUGAAGUAGAGGUGACAGACCUAGCGAACCCGGUGAUAGCUGGUUACUCAAGAAAAGAAUUUUAGUCCAACCUAAAGUAACUCAGUAAACUCAAAUAUAUCACUUUAGAGCAAUUCAAAUAAGGUACAGCCUAUUUGAAAAAGGAUACAACCUAUAAUGGCGGGUAACCUACGCAUACCGCAGCCAAGUGGGCCUAAGAGCAGCCACCUUAAAAAAGCGUCAAAGCUUAACUUCGCCCCCCCCCACCUAAUGCCCCCAUUAGCACGGAACCCCCACAACACUAUUGAGUACUUCUAUAUUCUUAUAGAAUUUUUUAUGUUAAAACUAGUAACAAGAAAACAUUUCUCUUACAAUGCGAGUGUAAGUCAGAACGGAUCACCCCACUGAUCACCACACACCCCCAAACAGCACCCCACCUAGAAAAUCCUGUUUUAUCAACUGUUAACCUAACACAAGAGCAUUUCAAGAAAGAUUAAAAGAAAAAGAAGGAACUCGGCAAACACUAAUCCCGCCUGUUUACCAAAAACAUCGCCUCUUGGCAAAAUAAGAGGUCUAGCCUGCCCAGUGACCCCAGUUUAACGGCCGCGGUACCCUGACCGUGCAAAGGUAGCGUAAUCACUUGUCUUUUAAAUAGAGACUAGUAUGAAAGGCAUCACGAGGAUCAAGCUGUCUCCUUUUUCCAACCAGUGAAACUAAUCUCCCCGUGAAGAAGCGGGAAUACCACUAUAAGACGAGAAGACCCUGUGGAGCUUAAGGCAAGAUAAUUACUGCUCUUUACAAAUCACCUUCCUGAAAACUACAUAUUACAGCACCUUAAUUAUUUAACCUUUAGUUGGGGCGACUGCGGAGUAAAAUUAAACCUCCGCGUUAAACAAACCUCCCACAAAGAGUUACAACUCUGUGCAUCAACACAUUGACAACAAUUGACCCAAUUACUUGAGCAACGAAACAAGUUACCCCAGGGAUAACAGCGCAAUCCAUUUCAAGAGUUCUUAUCGACAAGUGGGUUUACGACCUCGAUGUUGGAUCAGGGUACCCCAGUGGUGCAGCCGCUACUAAAGGUUCGUUUGUUCAACGAUUAAAGCCCUACGUGAUCUGAGU